RNAcentral lists this ribosomal RNA (212 nucleotides) under uncultured bacterium. Its description in RNAcentral is "partial 16S ribosomal RNA". It matches the Rfam family "Bacterial small subunit ribosomal RNA", at positions 28 to 240 of the family's 1533-position model. The record is from RNAcentral.
GACGAACGCUGGCGGCGUGCUUUACACAUGCAAGUCGAGCGGUAAGGCCCCUUCGGGGGUACGACGAGCGGCGAACGGGUGAGUAACACGUGGGCAAUCUACCUUUGACACUGGGAUAACUUCCGGAAACGGAAGCUAAUACCGGAUACCCAGCUCCAUCCGCAUGGACGGAUCUGGAAAGCUCCGACGGUCAAAGAUGAGCCCGCGGCCUA